Molecule: non-coding RNA, 121 nt
Filed under: Chinchilla lanigera (long-tailed chinchilla)
Lineage: Eukaryota; Metazoa; Chordata; Mammalia; Rodentia; Chinchillidae
Source: RNAcentral
GUGUUGUAGGACGGGGGAAAAGGUUAGCACUCCCCUUGACAAGGACGGGAGAGGCCCUUGGGCCUGACAACACGCACACAGCUAAGGCCACCUGCUUCGUGGCAUCUGACCACUGUUUUUA